CCUUUUCCCCCAAACCCAGAGCACCUGAGUUCUAUUGGAGUCUCCUCCCACCCCAGGUGUGACCACUUUACCCUCCCUGCCCACUCCCCUAUUUAAGCCACUCCAGGAAAGGCAGAAGCCUCAACCUUGCCCAACUGGGCAGAGGGAUCCUUCUCUCGUCACUCUGGACAGAAUUAUGUGUUACGCCUACAAGCAACACAAUUAUUAAUUACAGGGAUUAUUCACAGUAUCACAAAGGUAAACAGAGCUGAAACAAAUGGAAACAGGAUGUCAAAUUCAAACAGAAUGAAUAAAGAUUGUUGGAGUCCACAGUAUUCUGCAGUCCCUGUGGAACCUUCUGUUCUCUGCUUCUUUCAUCAUUACUGAAAUGCAGGUGGAACCACCUUUCAGAUGGCUUUCUAAUAUGAAGAUCAAGAAACACGGUGUAACUGAUCUGAACACCGAACAGUUUGCUGAAGGGGAACAGAGGAGUGACUUUGAAAGGGAUGGAAAAGAACUGCCAACAUUCAACAAAGUUGUGAGAUGAAGCUCACAAAUAUGUUUCCUUGGUCCUAAGAAGUGCUGGUGUAACACAAAAAUACAGCUGCCCGGUUUUCAAGA
Molecule: long non-coding RNA, 600 nt
Organism: Pogoniulus pusillus (Red-fronted tinkerbird)
Lineage: Eukaryota; Metazoa; Chordata; Aves; Piciformes; Lybiidae
Exons: 5
Source: RefSeq, a predicted model, not a curated record